AGCAGGGUGGAGCAGCCCGGUAGCUCGUCGGCCUCAUAAGCCGAAGGUCGCAGGUUCAAAUCCUGUCCUUGCUU
RNAcentral lists this transfer RNA (74 nucleotides) under Candidatus Competibacter denitrificans Run_A_D11. It matches the Rfam family "tRNA". Rfam says of the family: Transfer RNA (tRNA) molecules are approximately 80 nucleotides in length. Their secondary structure includes four short double-helical elements and three loops (D, anti-codon, and T loops). Lineage: Bacteria; Pseudomonadati; Pseudomonadota; Gammaproteobacteria; Candidatus Competibacteraceae. The record is from Rfam by way of RNAcentral.